Long non-coding RNA from Salvelinus namaycush (lake trout), 424 nucleotides. RefSeq lists it as uncharacterized. The transcript is spliced from 5 exons. The record is from RefSeq and is a predicted model, not a curated record. NCBI's taxonomy places the organism in Eukaryota, Metazoa, Chordata, Actinopteri, Salmoniformes, Salmonidae.
UCUCCGAUGAGUCCAGUGGUUGACUUGCUGAAGCAGAACGUCCUCUGCGUUAUGGAAGUUGAUAUGACAUAAAUGCUUUUUAGUAUCAACUUAUUGGUAUAGUGCUGCCACUUGAGUCUUGCCCUGCUCCUGCCCUAGUUAUUAGUUAAGUAGUUAACAGUAGCAUGGGGACUUGCAGAACCAUGCACGUGGGUACCUCUCAACGUUUUGGAACCAUGCCGGGUUGUCUACCUGGCCUAUGUGGACUGAACUGAAGCCGGACACGCCAAUGUCUGCGCACAUGGCAGACGCUGCCCGAAUUACUUGAUUACAAGGAGACUUAACCUGGAAAGGUGUGCAACAGAACCAAGGAUGGUGUGGAGGCAUCUGAAAAGAUUUGGGAGACUACUCCCUCAUGGCCCGUGGCUGAACCAUACACACAUGG